UACGUAGGGUGCAAGCGUUAUUCGGAAUUACUGGGCGUAAAGCGUGCGCAGGCGGUUAUGUAAGUCAGAUGUGAAAUGCCCGGGCUUAACCUGGGAACUGCAUUUGUGACUGCAUGGCUAGAGUUUGGCAGAGGGGGGUAGAAUUCCACGUGUAGCAGUGAAAUGCGUAGAUAUGUGGAGGAACACCGAUGGCGAAGGCAGCCCCCUGGGUCAAGACUGACGCUCAUGCACGAAAGCGUGGGGAGCAAACAGG
RNAcentral lists this ribosomal RNA (253 nucleotides) under uncultured bacterium. Its description in RNAcentral is "partial 16S ribosomal RNA". It matches the Rfam family "Bacterial small subunit ribosomal RNA", at positions 524 to 776 of the family's 1533-position model. The record is from RNAcentral.